GUCUUUUUGUUAAAAAUUUAAAGUCGGGCCUGCCCMCUGAAAAUUUAAAUGGCCGUGGUAUUUUGACCAUGCUAAGGUAGCAUAAUCAUUAGUUUUUUAAUUGAAAGCUGGAAUGAAAGGUUUGAUAAAAAAAUGACUGUCUCUAUUUAAUUUUAUUAAAAAUUUAUUUUUAAGUUCAAAAGCUUAAUUUUAAUUAAAAGACGAGAAGACCCUAUAGAGUUUAAUAAUUUAAGAUAAUUUAUAUUUUAGAAUUAAUUUAUUUAUUUUUUAAUAUUAUUUAAUUGGGGUGAUUAAAAAAUUUAAUUAACUUUUUUUAUAUUUCACCAUUAAUUUAUGAUAAUUUGAUCCAAUUUUUUUGAUUAUAAGAUAAAAUUACCUUAGGGAUAACAGCGUAAUUUUUUUAGAAAGUUCAAAUUAAAAGAAAAGAUUGCGACCUCGAUGUUGGAUUAAAAUUAAAUUUUGGUGUAGAAGCUAAAAAUUUUAAGUCUGUUCGACUUUUAAAAUUUUACA
This 510-nucleotide ribosomal RNA is filed under the name Calligrapha alni. RNAcentral's name for it is "partial 16S ribosomal RNA". The stretch from base 383 to 510 matches the Rfam family "Archaeal large subunit ribosomal RNA", at positions 2544 to 2671 of the family's 2987-position model. Lineage: Eukaryota; Metazoa; Arthropoda; Insecta; Coleoptera; Chrysomelidae. The record is from RNAcentral.